CACCUUCUAGCAUGCCUUAAUUGAGGGGGAAUAUUCAAUUAAGGGGGAAUAGUUUGCAUGACUUGUAUGUUGAGAUAUAGCAUGAAUUUAGGGGGAAUACUAUAUGCAUAUCUCCUAUUGUUUGUCAUUAUCAAAGAGGGGGAAAUUGUUGGAAAUCAUUGAUAUCAUUGAUAUGUGUUCUUUGGUUGUAUUAACAUGAUUUCCAAGUGCAGUUUUUGAUGAAUGACAAACAACGAAGUCAAAUGUCAAACAACUAUAUUAGUGUAUGACAUAUGACAAACAAUGAAGAUGCAUUAGCAAACGAUCAAGAUGGUUGACGAAUCAAUGAUGAUGAAUCAAAUAAUCAAGACUGAAUGCCAAG
This 361-nucleotide long non-coding RNA is filed under the name Nicotiana benthamiana. Its description in RNAcentral is "long non-coding RNA (NBEN_LNC015095)". Lineage: Eukaryota; Viridiplantae; Streptophyta; Magnoliopsida; Solanales; Solanaceae. The record is from RNAcentral.